Molecule: long non-coding RNA, 3684 nt
Organism: Brienomyrus brachyistius
Lineage: Eukaryota; Metazoa; Chordata; Actinopteri; Osteoglossiformes; Mormyridae
Exons: 3
Source: RefSeq, a predicted model, not a curated record
AUCCCAUCCGGCGUGUGCAUAUUGUAAUCAGGGAAUUGGAGUAUCAAUAACCCAGGUCCUUCAUGGCUAUAAAAACGUUAUUUUGUUGCAGGAAAGAAGUGAGGGGCUUGGAAGGGAAUGUUAAGUGAACUUGCUCAGGAAAUACACAGUGGCAGCAGUGGCCGUCUCCCCACAGGUACGACUCUGCAGACACAAAAGCACAUCACUACGGUGAGGGACCAGUAAGGGACCAGAGGGAAAUUAAAGGGGGUAUUGGGAGAAAUGUGGGCUUCCUUAAAGAAGGUCAUUAAAAGAUACAACGUUGCUGUUUCCCUAAGCAACACGUCAUGUCCGCAUGGAGUGCCACAGGUCUGUUAGCUGUAUAGGGAUGUAUGUCCAGAUCUUCUUCCUGAAGAUCAUGUUGGUUGGGGACUGGAAGGUCGUUUUCGCUGAGCCAUGUCAUGAAGCAGAGCAGAAGCUACUACGAUGCUGCAAGCCCGGGUUGAGCUGUACAGCAUCCUCCUACCUGCAUUUGAGGGGUCCUGUGGUGGCACCAUAACUGAUCUCGCUAUUACAGGUGCCUGAUUACGGUGCCUCUCCUUUGUACUCCUGGGGUGAUGGAAUUGGGGUAGAGGCCAGUGUCUGAGGGGAUUGCCACUGUGCCUUGCAGAAGUGAGGCACUGAUAAACGUCGCAUAGAAUGGUUAUGACUUAUGAGAAAGGUGCACAGUUGUUUUGCAGACAAGCCAGCCGUCAUGUACAGUCGUGAGAAUGAGGAAGUCAUCUGUGAUGCUGAAACUACUAUGAAAGUAGAAGCUCGACGGCCUGGGUCAACUCAUGACUUAUUUCCAUUUCACUUUCACCAGCUCCUUCCCACCCUAUUCUUGCUUUUGUCACCUGCUGUCCCAUCAUUUUCAAGGACUUAAUGAAGAGAGAGUUGCGCCCAGGAAAACAGGCCCCGAUGGUCUUAGUCCUUGGAUACUCAGUACCCGGUUUGCACAGCACAGUAUUGCAGAGUAUCUUAAACUUGAGCCUUAGUCUGAAGAAGGUGCCAAGACUGUGGAAAACAUUGUCUGGUUCCUGAGCCCAGUAAGGCAUGUCCUAGUGCCCCAUUUCAUUACAGGCCAUUGGCCUGACUUCACACAGCAUGAAGACCUUCCUGACAGGUCCUGGUUAGGUCAUUGCUUGAUCCCCUUUAGCUUGUCUAUCCAGGAAAGGAUUUUCAAUGUGCCUCCUUCCACUGGGAUACAUUUUUUAAUCUCAUUUGACUAAUGAAGGUUAUUAUAAGUUAGUGUGAUCUAUCUUAAGGAUUCGUAGUAAUUUUCUUACAGGUGUGACACCUGCACUGCCUGGUCUCUCGAAGUAGCCAAAAGGCACGGAGAGAAAAGCAAAGUGAUCUGGGCGCCCUUUCUGUUACUCAUCAUCAGCCAACUUACUAUUUCUAUUGAGUUGGUCUGAAGUCGAUUCGCUUUUAGGGGGUCUGAGUUCAUUUGGAACAUUCACUUACUGUAAACUGGUCUUAGAUGUUCUGCAGUGCCUUCAACAUCAUCUAGUCAUACCCACUUGGGAGUAAUAAUAAUAAUAAUCGAUACUUUAUUGAUCCCCGUAGGGAAAUUGUCUUUACGCCUCCUACAACUUCCCAGGGAGCUGGGGGUUAAGGGCCCUUGCUCAAGGACCCACAGGCUGAGGCUGGGUUUGAACCUGCGACCUUCUGAUUACAGGCACACAGGCUUAGCCCACAGAGCCACACACUGCUCCCCAAAAGGUUGUGUCAGAAGUGGGAUUCGAACCCACGCCUCCAUUCGGAGACCAGAACACCCAUUUCUGUGGAAGGUAUUGAACCUUGCGCCUGGCGCCUUAGACCGCUCGGCCAUCCUGACGAUACGUGUAAGCUGUCGAUCAUGCGGGUGGAAGCUCCCCUGGUGCAAUGGACUAUGGACAAUUUGAUCGGACACCCACAGUAUGUCCGUCUCCAUGAUGGUGUGUCUGAUAAGGUACUGAGGUGAGGUGAGGUGAGGUGAGAUGAGCUGAGGCCCAUGAAGGAGUGAUAUCAUGGACGCGACGUACAAACUGUAACAUUGUUAGUGCAGCCUUCGGUCUGCCACCCCACACAGGCCAGCAUGGAGAACUGACUCACUGAUGGACUUUGGCAUUGACCUACACCACAGUUUACAGCUUCCUUUUAGGAAGUAGGCCCACGGGCGGGGGGGGAUGUUGGACCCCCAGACGGUUUUCUUCUUCCUGCUUUGGAGUUUUUGGUUCCUCUCCUCCAUUAUCAUCUGACUUUCUGUCUUUAUCACUAAGGACAACAAAUGUCGUGCAAGAAACUCUGAGCUAUGCAGCAGUCUGGGAGCAAGGAGAAACACAUGAGAGCAAAGGAUUCAAAGACAGAGGAGGACAGGAUGGCCAGCGACACCUACUGGCCAAACGGGGAAGAUACACGAGGAGCUGGGCCAGACAGUACCAACCCUGAGAGAUUUGGCAAACAUAUCUUCACUGCAUCCUGUAUUAAUUAUUACUAGUAAUAAUUCAUUUCAUUUUCAGUACGUUCAGGAACCAGGGGUAGCAUGGUGGUACAGCAGUGAGCACUGUUGCCUCACAACAAGGUUCGAGUCCCCACCAUGACUGUGCAGGUGGAGUUUUCAUGCAAUCUCUGUGUUGUCUUGGGGUUUUCUCUGGGCACUCUAGUCCUCCCCCUCCCACCCAGUCCAAAAACAUGGUGAGGGGAACUGGAGUUACCAAACUGCAUGUAUGUGUGAUGUGAGCGUGCCCUGUGACAGGUUGGUGUUCCAUCCUCGGUUGUUCCUUGCCUUGCACCCAUAGAUUUAGGAAUAGGCUCUGGAUCCCCCUUGACCCUGAAUGGCACAAGCUGUUACACAAAUUAGAUGGAUGGAUGGAUGGUUCCGGAACCAAAGAAUAUACAUAAGACAGUACAAGGCUUUUGUAUUUAACAAACCUUUUAUUCCGCAUUUUGUAAUUUUUUUUUUUUAAAGUACACACAGUAUAGAUAACUUUAAAGUGCACAUACAAUGUUCAGUGACAAACUAUGUAUGAUGUACUUCGUGAAAGAAAUUUUGCUAGAUACUUAAAUAGUCUUUGCCUCUCAACAAACUGUGCUUGCCAGAAUUACAGACCUAUCUUUAUGUUUUCUUUCCGGAUGAUGACAGAAAUCGAAGGUUCCACCCUCAUCUCUGUAAUCGAUGAUUUACAAUAUUUGCUUCUUUUUACUGGAUGUCUUACUGUACAUAGAAACUCCAUAUGAAAUGGGAAAGUUUGUAGGAAAGUUUUUCAAGUUACCAGUGUUGAAGUCCGUGUCAUAACCAAGCAAGAAUUCACCCAAGUGAGUGACAAGAUCAAUUGCAUUCAUAUUGCGGUAGCGUAGCUCUGCUCUGUGCUGUAUAUUUUUUCAGUUUUUGGUUUUUUAGCUCUCCAUUACAAGCAAUUUCCUCUGGGAUAAUGAAGGAAUUCUGGAAUAAACUUUGUAUUUUUUAGAUAGAUAGAUAGAUAGAUAGAUAGAUAGAUAGAUAGAUAGAUAGAUAGAUAGAUAGAUAGAUAGAUAGAUAGAUAGAUAGAUAGAUAGAUAGAUAGAUAGAUAGGACUUUAUUGAUCCCACAGUGGGGAAAUUUGCGUGUUAACGCAGCUCCAGACAGCCAGCAACAGAGAGUUUACAAGAGUAAAGAAUAUAAAAAAAUACAAGAAUAAGAAU